GAGUUUGAUCCUGGCUCAGGAUGAACGCUAGCGGCAGGCUUAACACAUGCAAGUCGAGGGGCAGCACGGGUAGCAAUACUUGGUGGCGACCGGCGCAAGGGUGCGUAACGCGUGAGCAACAUGCCCGUAUCAGGGGGAUAAUCCAGGGAAACUUGGUCUAAUACCCCAUAGUAAUAAUUUGAGGCAUCUUGGAUUAUUUAAAGCUUUGGUGGAUACGGAUUGGCUCGCGUGACAUUAGCUUGAUGGUAAGGUAACGGCUUACCAUGGCUAUGAUGUCUAGGGGUUCUGAGAGGAAGGUCCCCCACACUGGAACUGAGACACGCCC
Molecule: ribosomal RNA, 325 nt
Filed under: uncultured Bacteroidota bacterium
Lineage: Bacteria; Pseudomonadati; Bacteroidota
Description: bacterial SSU rRNA
Rfam family: Bacterial small subunit ribosomal RNA
Source: RNAcentral